GCGGACGGGUGAGUAACACGUGGGCAACCUACCUGUGAGACGGGGAUAACUCCGGGAAACCGGGGCUAAUACCGGAUAACGCAUCGAACCGCAUGGUUCGAUGAUCAAAGAUGGCUUCUAGCUAUCACUCACAGAUGGGCCCGCGGCGCAUUAGUUAGUUGGUGAGGUAACGGCUCACCAAGGCGACGAUGCGUAGCCGACCUGAGAGGGUGAUCGGCCACACUGGGACUGAGACACGGCCCAGACUCCUACGGGAGGCAGCAGUAGGGAAUCAUCCGCAAUGGACGCAAGUCUGACGGUGCAACGCCGCGUGAGCGAUGAAGGUCUUCGGAUCGUAAAGCUCUGUUGUGAGGGAAGAACAAGUGCCGUUCGAAUAGGGCGGCACCUUGACGGUACCUCACCAGAAAGCCCCGGCUAACUACGUGCCAGCAGCCGCGGUAAUACGUAGGGGGCAAGCGUUGUCCGGAAUUAUUGGGCGUAAAGCGCGCGCAGGCGGUUCCUUAAGUCUGAUGUGAAAGGCCACAGCUCAACUGUGGAG
This 538-nucleotide ribosomal RNA is filed under the name Alkalibacillus almallahensis. RNAcentral describes it as "bacterial SSU rRNA". It matches the Rfam family "Bacterial small subunit ribosomal RNA", at positions 98 to 620 of the family's 1533-position model. The record is from RNAcentral. Lineage: Bacteria; Bacillati; Bacillota; Bacilli; Caryophanales; Bacillaceae.